This 316-nucleotide ribosomal RNA is filed under the name Hemicetopsis sp. Its description in RNAcentral is "partial 12S ribosomal RNA". It matches the Rfam family "Bacterial small subunit ribosomal RNA", at positions 868 to 1349 of the family's 1533-position model. Lineage: Eukaryota; Metazoa; Chordata; Actinopteri; Siluriformes; Cetopsidae. The record is from RNAcentral.
UCCGCCAGGGUACUACGAGCAUAGCUUAAAACCCAAAGGACUUGGCGGUAUCUCAGACCCACCUAGAGGAGCCUGUUCUGUAAUCGACAACCCCCGUUAAACCUCACCACUUCUGGCCCGCCCCGUCUAUAUACCGCCGUCGCCAGUUUACCCUGUAAAGGACUAACAGUAAACAAAAUGGGCUCACCCAAAAACGUCAGGUCAAGGUGUAGCGAAUGAAGUGGGAAGAAAUGGGCUACAUUUUCUACAUCAGAAUAUAUACGAACGGCACCCUGAAAUAUAGUGCCCAAAGGUGGAUUUAGUAGUAAAAAGUAAA